CAUUGUCACACAUGCUUCAGUGCUCUGAGAGUGUUUAUAGUGCUGUGAGUUUAACACUUCAUGACUGAGAGCAGAACAGAACACAAUCUUCAUCAUCACACAAGACAAAAGAACAACAAUGAACAAAAUCACCUUCUUCAUCUGGACUCUCACACUGUUUAUUCAAGAAUCCAGAGGAGUGACUCUGACUCAACCUGAAGUUAAAAUUGUCCAACAGGGUCAAACAGCUACAAUAGAGUGUCAUAUAGAUGUAGGAAUAUACAGCAGCUACUUAGCCUGGUAUCAGCAGAAACCUGGAGAAGCUCCUAAACUCCUGAUUUAUGCCAUAAACACCCUCCAGUCAGGAACUCCAUCUAGAUUCAGUGGCAGUGGAACAGCAAAUACUGGACGAGAUUUCACUCUGACCAUCAGUGGAGUCCAGACUGAAGAUACAGGAGAUUAUUACUGUCAGAGUUUACACUAUAUCAACAGUAAAGAAGUGUUCACACAGUGAUAAAGAGUGGUACAAAAACCUCAGUCAGUCAGACGUCACAGUGAUGCACUGAUACAGCUGAGAGAUACUGCAGCUGCUGAUGGAGGAUCACAAACAACACAAUGACAAUGUUUAGCAAAGUUUCUAAAAACUUUUAAAAUUAAUUAAUAGAGUGAACAUAAAUUUAUAUAUAGUCUUUUUUUUUAUGAAAUAGAGGUAACUUUACAAUAAGGUUUAUUAGUUAACAUUAGUUAACUACCUCAAUUAACAUGACCUGCACUUAUACAGCAUUUAUUAAUCUUUGUUAAUGUUAAUUUCAACAUUUACUAAUACAUUAUUAAAAUCUUGUCAACAUUAUUUAAUGCACUGUGAACUAACAUGAACAAACAAUGAACAACUGAAUUUUCAUUAACUAACGUUAACGAAGAUUAGUAAAUACAGUAACAGAUGUAUUGCUCAUGGUUAGUUCAUGUUAGUUAAUACAUUAACUAAUGUUUAACUAAUGAACCUUAUUGUAAAGUGUUACCGAAAUAACCGUUAGUGCUGAUAUGAAUUAUGGCAGCUCUGGGAUGUUUUAUUGUUUGUGUUUCAGAUCACAGUAUGAGAGCGAUGUGGAGUGAAGCAGAAAUAGCAGUUGUUUUUAAUGUGUUUUCUCUCACUCCAGGAUUGAAAGAAGCGGUUUCUUUCUCCAGUGGUUGGGAAAAAUAUGCAUACUAACUGAUCAGAUUUAGUCUGAAAGCCCACUAUGAGUACA
Ctenopharyngodon idella (grass carp) is the source of this 1226-nucleotide long non-coding RNA. RefSeq lists it as uncharacterized. The record is from RefSeq and is a predicted model, not a curated record. NCBI's taxonomy places the organism in Eukaryota, Metazoa, Chordata, Actinopteri, Cypriniformes, Xenocyprididae. The transcript has 3 exons.